This is a long non-coding RNA of Gallus gallus (chicken), 1942 nucleotides long. The record is from Ensembl. Lineage: Eukaryota; Metazoa; Chordata; Aves; Galliformes; Phasianidae.
CUAUAAGGAAAAAGGCAUGACUGGAAAAAGUGAUGAUUUGAUCCCUACUCCCCCAUGUUCUUCCCAUGCCAGCAGCCUGGCUCUCUCCCCAGGGGAACGCUCUCCAGACUGCCAUUUCCAAAGGCAGGUUAAAAUGGACCAAAGUCUUACGAAAAUGAUACUGUUAUGGGAAGAAGUAGUUAAGUCAGAGGGAAAAAUGCAGGAAGAAUGUCUGGAUGAAAAGAACAUAGCCAUUGAUUUGAAAACGAGCAAAUGUUGAAAAUAUUGCCAGUGUUUCUCCACUUACCCCUACAAAGCCAUAAGAGGUUGCCAAGGACACCUUGGAUGGGCUCUGCCAGCACACAGCUCUUUGCUCUUUCCUUGGCGGUUUGUGACACGACUGAGGGGUGACCCAGCAGCAGCAGUGAGGAGAGCACCCUUGCCACCUGCUUGGGCCUUUGUGUGGACACACUGGGAAGACUAGGAAUUGCUCAACCACCGUGGAGCCUGGAACACGAGUGCUCUCCACCUGUGAAGUUGCACUGCAGCUAUCAUGAGAAAUGAAACAAUGCUCUUCAUCCUGGUUCCUGGAAAAAGACAGAAAUAUGGUAUUUCACCAGAAAAGUCUGUCCAAGUAGGAACUGCAAGGCGACUGCCCUGCCUGGGGAAAGAAAUUGGCAGCAGCUAGGCAUUUUUAGAUCCUGUCUGGAAGGGAGGCUGAAGUGUGUGCAGCUGCACUCAUCAUAAUAGUGCUGCCCUGGCAGCAGCUGCAAGCAAGGGAAGUCCUGUGUGCACCUUGUGUGCAGUGAAUGAAGAUGACAAGAGCAGGGGUAAGACCACGCCUUUGUAUUUUUGCUUUGCUUUCUUGCUUUCCUUCAAUAUAUUUUCUAGCUGGAAUGACUUACAAUGUUUUAGACAGUAGCUAUUAAUAACAGGUCCUUUUUCUCAUCCUUCUCACCUAAGUUGCUUUGAAGAGCAGAUGCCCUUUGAAGGCAGAACAAGCUACCACCUAAGCCACGCUUGCUUGUUUCGACCAACUGGCAGGCCAUGUCUUGUCUGUCACAGCUUCACUGCUGCAACACUGAAUCUACUUAGAGAGCAUUAAGUCUGGGAGUGCAAGCCAGAUCUUUGUCUUGCUUGGCCAUGCUGCCACCCAGAGGGGCCUGGGCAAUCUAGAGAAAUGGGCUGAAAAGAACCUCAUGGAGUUCAACAGUGAGAAGUGCUGAGUCCUGCCUCUGGGGAAAUAAACCCACAGGCUGGGGUCAUCCAGCUGGAAGCAGCUCUGUAGGAAAGGCCCUGAGGUCCUGGUGGGCACAGUAGGUUCAGCAUGUGUCACUAAGAAGACUAACAGUAUUCUUGGCUGGAUUAGGCAAAGUAUCACCAGUAGGCCAAGGGGAGUGAUCCUUCUCCUUUGCUCAGCACUAGCAAGGCCUCACCUGGAGUGCUGGGCUCAUUUCUGGCCCCCUGGAGAGAGCCCGGUGCAGAGACACUGAGAUGCUGCAAGGCCUGGAGCAGCUCUGCUGUGAGCAGAAGCUGAGAGAGUUGGGGCUGCUGAGCCUGGAGAAGACGCCCAGGGAGUUCUCAUCUGUGCCCAUGAAUACUUGAAGGGAGCCAGGCUCUGUUCAGUGGUGCCCAAUGGCAGAACCAAAGGCACUGGACACAAAUUGGAGCACAAGGAGGUUCCCUCUGACCGUCAGGCAGCACUUCUGUGCUGUGCUGGUUAUGAAGAGCUGCCACGGGGACCCAGAGGCUGUGGGGUCUCCUCCUUGGAGAUCUCCAAAAGUUACCUGGACAUGGUACCAGGCACACUGCUCUGGGUGCAUCCGGCACUCACUCAGUUGAGGGGACAGAGUAAGUACCAAGAUAGAUAUUCCUGUGACUUUCCAUUCUUAGUUUCUCAGCUGUUAGCCUUUAGUUUAAUGUUACAAAGGACAUAUAUCACACUAUAUACAAUACAUGUAUA